RNAcentral lists this transfer RNA (73 nucleotides) under Loxodonta africana (African savanna elephant). It matches the Rfam family "tRNA". Rfam says of the family: Transfer RNA (tRNA) molecules are approximately 80 nucleotides in length. Their secondary structure includes four short double-helical elements and three loops (D, anti-codon, and T loops). The record is from Rfam by way of RNAcentral. Lineage: Eukaryota; Metazoa; Chordata; Mammalia; Proboscidea; Elephantidae.
GCAUUGGUGGUUCAAUGGUAGAAUUUUUGCCUUCUAUAUGCAGAAGGUCUGGGUUCGAUUCCUGGCCAAUAUA